Tachyglossus aculeatus (Australian echidna) is the source of this 138-nucleotide small nucleolar RNA. The record is from RefSeq and is a predicted model, not a curated record. Lineage: Eukaryota; Metazoa; Chordata; Mammalia; Monotremata; Tachyglossidae.
CCCAUCUCAGGAUCACACCUGGAGAGUGACCAAUACUCUGCCAGUCUCGACUAUGGGAGGGAGAGUCAAGCAGAGGCAUACCCAUUCCAUUCCUAGCUUGGUCAGUAACUAGCAAGUGGAAGGCAAUCUGCUCCAAAU